This 262-nucleotide ribosomal RNA is filed under the name uncultured bacterium. Its description in RNAcentral is "partial 16S ribosomal RNA". It matches the Rfam family "Bacterial small subunit ribosomal RNA", at positions 793 to 1055 of the family's 1533-position model. The record is from RNAcentral.
GUCCACGCCGUAAACGAUGAAUGCCAGUCGUCGGGUAGCAUGCUAUUCGGUGACACACCUAACGGAUUAAGCAUUCCGCCUGGGGAGUACGGCCGCAAGGUUAAAACUCAAAGGAAUUGACGGGGCCGCACAAGCGGUGGAGCAUGUGGUUUAAUUCGAAGCAACGCGCAGAACCUUACCAACCCUUGACAUGGGUAUCGCGGGGCCAGAGAUGGUCCUUUCAGUUCGGCUGGAUACCACACAGGUGCUGCAUGGCUGUCGU